CUGCAAGCAUAUACCCCAGUGAUUUUGCUGCUCUGAGCUUUAAGAAGGGUCUGAGAUGAGCUGAGUGCCGUACCCUAAUCUGUGUGAGUGCCCCAACUGUGCUUUGACCUGUGCCUGUCUUUUGACUGUUCUUAAGUCUUACCCCUGAGCUUGAUGUUGGUCCAGAUCCAUCUGAAAUCAGCACAUUUCCAUGAGAAGCAAAUUUCCAAGGGAGCAGCAUGAUGAAAUGAAAGCAAAAGUACCUACUUGUGUACAAAUGAACCUAUUUGCAGGCACAUUAGUCAAUGGCAGUCUUGUGACACAGCAAGAACACUUGCAGAUCAGUCUGUGCAUCACUGUGACCAGUGCUUUUCUUGGCAAGUGGUCUUUCAUUUAUCGAUAAAUGUACAUUAUUUGGCAUUUCGACAUUAGUCAUUUUUCAAAAAUCUGUUUUCAAAAGGGGCUAAAGAUUGCAGGGCUCACUGAAAAGUACUCUCGUUUGGAAAGCCAGCUUUUUCAGGCUCUUCCUCUUGCUCACUCCCCAAAAGGAAAGUCUCAUCCAUGCAACUGCAGUGAGCCGACAAGUCUCUACACCACCCACAGAGAAGCUGAGGUCAAGCCACCACUACAGGGAACAACCAGCUCCACAAAUUUACCCAGGAAGCUACGCUAACCUGGCCAGCUGCAACACACACUGGAAUCUGUGAAAGCAUAUGGCCGACACAUUGAAUUAUGUGAGGAAGGCAAACGGGCCCCUUUUGGAUCACUGCAACUUUGACUAAAUUUCCCCUUUGGAAAAGAGAGGGAUCAUCAAACACUCCCAGUCUCCCAGAACAGCAGAGAGUGAAAUGGAGGCUACAGUAAAUCUGUAACAUACUGAGAGGGUGGAACAUUCAUGAAACCACCUGAAGCCAUGUCUGUAAGGAAUGAUGCACAUAUUCACUGAG
Molecule: long non-coding RNA, 926 nt
Organism: Anguilla anguilla (European eel)
Lineage: Eukaryota; Metazoa; Chordata; Actinopteri; Anguilliformes; Anguillidae
Exons: 3
Source: RefSeq, a predicted model, not a curated record